GAUCAUGGCUCAGGAUGAACGCUAGCUACAGGCUUAACACAUGCAAGUCGAGGGGAAACGACAUCGAAAGCUUGCUUUUGAUGGGCGUCGACCGGCGCACGGGUGAGUAGCGCGUAUCCAACCUGCCCAUCACUUGGGAAUAACCUUGCGAAAGUAAGACUAAUACCCAAUGAUAUCCCACGAAGGCAUCCGAAUGGGAUUAAAGAUUUAUCGGUGAUGGAUGGGGAUGCGU
This 232-nucleotide ribosomal RNA is filed under the name uncultured bacterium. Its description in RNAcentral is "partial 16S ribosomal RNA". It matches the Rfam family "Bacterial small subunit ribosomal RNA", at positions 15 to 236 of the family's 1533-position model. The record is from RNAcentral.